AGAUACCCCUGUAGUCCUAGGCGUAAAUGAUGCGAGUUAAGUGUGGGGGCAUCUACGAGAUGGCCCUGUGCUGUAGGGUAGCCGUUAAACGCACCACCUGGGAAGUACGGUCGCAAGGCUGAAACUUAAAGGAAUUGGCGGGGGAGCACCACAACAGGUGGAGCCUGCGGUUUAAUUGGGUUCAACGCCGGACAUCUCACCGGAUAAGACAGCUGAAUGAUUGUCAAUCUGAAGGUUUUACAUGACUAGCUG
This 252-nucleotide ribosomal RNA is filed under the name uncultured archaeon. RNAcentral's name for it is "partial 16S ribosomal RNA". It matches the Rfam family "Archaeal small subunit ribosomal RNA", at positions 731 to 982 of the family's 1478-position model. The record is from RNAcentral.